CGGGGUGCAGCAGGCGCGAAAACUUUACAAUGCGGGAAACCGUGAUAAGGGGACACCGAGUGCCAGCAUCAUAUGCUGGCUGUCCAGGUGUGUAAAAUACACCUGUUAGCAAGGGCCGGGCAAGACCGGUGCCAGCCGCCGCGGUAACACCGGCGGCCCGAGUGGUGAUCGUGAUUAUUGGGUCUAAAGGGUCCGUAGCCGGUUUGGUCAGUCCUCCGGGAAAUCUGACGGCUCAACCGUUAGGCUUUCGGGGGAUACUGCCAGGCUUGGAACCGGGAGAGGUAAGAGGUACUACAGGGGUAGGAGUGAAAUCUUGUAAUCCCUGUGAGACCACCUGUGGCGAAGGCGUCUUACCAGAACGGGUUCGACGGUGAGGGACGAAAGCUGGGGGCACGAACCGGAUUAGAUACCCGGGUAGUCCCAGCCGUAAACGAUGCUCGCUAGGUGUCAGGCAUGGCGCGACCGUGUCUGGUGCCGCAGGGAAGCCGUGAAGCGAGCCACCUGGGAAGUACGGCCGCAAGGCUGAAACUUAAAGGAAUG
Molecule: ribosomal RNA, 540 nt
Filed under: uncultured archaeon
Lineage: Archaea
Description: bacterial SSU rRNA
Rfam family: Archaeal small subunit ribosomal RNA
Source: RNAcentral